RNAcentral lists this ribosomal RNA (503 nucleotides) under uncultured bacterium. RNAcentral describes it as "partial 16S ribosomal RNA". It matches the Rfam family "Bacterial small subunit ribosomal RNA", at positions 30 to 523 of the family's 1533-position model. The record is from RNAcentral.
AUUGAACGCUGGCGGCAGGCUUAACACAUGCAAGUCGAGCGGGGUGAUGGUGCUUGCACUAUCACUUAGCGGCGGACGGGUGAGUAAUGCUUAGGAAUCUGCCUAUUAGUGGGGGACAACAUCUCGAAAGGGAUGCUAAUACCGCAUACGUCCUACGGGAGAAAGCAGGGGAUCUCUUGUGACCUUGCGCUAAUAGAUGAGCCUAAGUCGGAUUAGCUAGUUGGUGGGGUAAAGGCCUACCAAGGCGACGAUCUGUAGCGGGUCUGAGAGGAUGAUCCGCAACACUGGGACUGAGACACGGCCCAGACUCCUACGGGAGGCAGCAGUGGGGAAUAUUGGACAAUGGGGGGAACCCUGAUCCAGCCAUGCCGCGUGUGUGAAGAAGGCCUUAUGGUUGUAAAGCACUUUAAGCGAGGAGGAGGCUCUUUUGGUUAAUACCCAAGACGAGUGGACGUUACUCGCAGAAUAAGCACCGGCUAACUCUGUGCCAGCCGCCGCCGUAA